GGAGGAUGACAGAAGAGAGAGAGCACAAUCAGAGUCAUGGAUGCAACUCGUCAUUCUCUCACACAACGAUGCUGUUCUCGAGCUUUCUUCUUCUUCU
This 97-nucleotide microRNA precursor is filed under the name Camelina sativa (false flax). RNAcentral describes it as "miR156i stem-loop (cas-MIR156i)". Its record names the gene cas-MIR156i. Lineage: Eukaryota; Viridiplantae; Streptophyta; Magnoliopsida; Brassicales; Brassicaceae. The record is from miRBase by way of RNAcentral.